This is a long non-coding RNA of Canis lupus familiaris (dog), 7070 nucleotides long. RefSeq lists it as uncharacterized. The record is from RefSeq and is a predicted model, not a curated record. The transcript has 7 exons. Lineage: Eukaryota; Metazoa; Chordata; Mammalia; Carnivora; Canidae.
GGGGGUUGCGCUGGCCACGUGACAGGGCCCAGUGGAGCCGCCUGGGGUUGCGGCGGCUGACCCCGGCUCUCGCGGUGCCCGGCCGCAGUGGGGCGCCGCCUUUCCCCGUUGACUGGGUUGCUGCUCUGGUACCUUCGUCCCCUUCAGCGAACAUUCUGUGACUCAGGCUUGAAUUGGAUUUAACUGAGCCUGUUAACCAGAGAAAACGUAGGCUGAGUUUUCCUGGGAUUACAUCAUCAUCCUCUUUUUCAGAUAAUUCUAGCCUUUGGCCGCCGCAAAACGUCGGCAACACGAUUGUGAACACCUAGUGACCUCUGGAAAACCAGUCCGCCCUCACCCCGCUGUACAUAUGGCCCAAGGUAGCGACUAGAGUCAGCGAGGUUCCAUGAACUCCCAGAACAAAAUGCAAAUUGGGAUUCUCUGCACUUUGCCUCCACUUCAGAGAACUGCUCUGGAGUUCGGCUUGAAUUAUAAUAUCACCCACUGUGCUGUGUGUUGAAAGGCUUGCAGCAGUGACCUCAUCCAGUAUUAGCCAAUUUGGUUUUUGGGAGACUUUGGAACUGGACUAAGGGUACAAGGGUACGUUAGUCCAUCUCUGCUGGUGACUUGAAGAGAAAACGUGAACUUGAGAUGGUUGUGCACUUGGAAGCAAGAAAACUUAUUUUCAGAGGGAGAAGCAGCAGCAGUUUUCAGAAUACUACUAUGAUAAACCAAGGAUUGAGGUGGGGAGAAUGAGACAUGUUGAUGAAGAUGUUUUUGUAACAGUCCCCAACCUGGAUUUUGCACUUGGCCUCCACCAGCUGCAGUUUGGUUUGUGCCAACUCCAGCUCCAUCUCCCUCAGCUGCUUCUUCAGGGAAUCCUUCUCAUCAUCCAGUUCCAGCCCCUGCUCCUCCCUGCUUACGGCUGCGAGCUUCAGAGUGCCCUCUUUGCUGAAAAUGUCGCUGCAGUGUUUACAAGCCAUCAUUUUACCCUGAAAGAGUCAAAAGAGAUAACCAACAUCAAACAAUUUCAUAGCAUAUAUCACUUCCUGAAACAACUGGGUAUGAUUUUCAUCUAGACACUGCUUGUUGUCAUCAAAUGCAGGUCCACUUCUGAAGCUUUCAGCGAAGAUGAUCAUUAUUGUUCUAGGUGAUGAAAGUAACUCUGCCUCAUGCCCAGACUGCCAACCAGGCACAUGGCACUGAACAACAGCAACUCUUCAAGUCAAUGGUGCUACUGUUUUCUUAAAAUAUCUCCAAAAAUAGCUUAGAGAUUUAAUUUUUAAGUGAUCUCCACACAUAGGGUGGGACUUGAGCUCACAGUCCGGAGAUCGAGAGUCUCCUGCUCCACCGAUUGAGCCAGCUGGACGCCCCGAAGCCAUCUUUAUUCUUAUGAGGGUCUAAAAAAAACCAUGAAGUCAAUGUUGUGUCUUCUCCUAAUGCUGUAUAAUCAAUGACUGAAGAAGCAUUUUCGGCAUUUCCAUCCAGAGCUCCUCCUGUCACUGCUGGUACCUCUGAAGGUGGGAACAGGAAGCUUUUGAGCCUGGGGCCAGCAAGAGCAGGAGGCAGGUCUAGACCUUCUGAGGUCAGGAGAUUUGGGGACUGAACAGAGGCUUUCGAAGGAGCCAGCAUGCCACACAGUGCAGUAUUAUUGGUGUCCUGGUGUCAUUAAAAUAAGUGAGUGACUCAUGCCUGGCUGGGACUGGCAGAGAUGGAGAACAUCAGUGAAGAACAUCGGCCUGCUCUUCUCAGGAAGACCAGAAGUCUCAACUCCUAGGGUAGAGAGGCCCCUCCUGUCUUUCAUCCAGAUGGUGUCAUCCAGCCCAUCAUCCUCAUAAUGCACGUGAAGACCGGAGGGUGCCAACCUCAAGGCUAGUUCCCAAAGGGCUGCCUUUCUCAUUCUCCCAGGGAGUUAAGGGUUGAGAGCUCUGGCAGGAAUGCCGACACUCCUUCCAAGGCAUGAAUCAGGAAAACCGAGCAACUCCCAGCUGAGAUUUCUGCAGGCUUCCUGCUCCCUGGGCCUCUCAAACUACCGCUGAAGUCAAUUACCUUGGAGACGGGACACAAACUGCAGAUUUGCCAAAGCUCUUGGAUCAUAAUUCCAAAUUGCUAAACUUAGAGAAAACCUAACCCUCUUGCUAGAUAUCUGAGUAAAGGCGUAUUCCUAAAAGCUGUUCAAGGGUAGAAAUCAGGUCUUGCCUCUACUUCUAACCCCCUCCAAAUGAAAUGGCAAGACCCAACACUACUCACAUGUCCUGCUUCAACAUUGCCCUUGAUUUAGAAUAAGUUUAAUUUUACUUGAUGCUUAGAGUAUUAACUCCACGCGCCGACACACCUGUGCAAAGAAAAGCCCACCUAUGCCUCUUACCUGGGCAGUCUCUUCCUCCUGUUUCCUCUUCUCCUCUUCGGUUUCCACCAGCCUCUGUUUGGUCAAGAGGAGCUCCUUAUUCAGCACAUCUGCCUUGUCUUCCGCCUGCACAUCAGAGAACAUCACAAUCAUCAAGGUGAAGAAAGAAAGCGUGUGCUUUCUCUAGUUAUGAUUGCUGCAUCACUACCAAAACCCACUUCCUCCUCCUGGCUCACCCAGAGGGCAGCUGUUUUAUCGAAUGCCAAGUAUACAGCCGGCACUUGGCACACAUUAUCUCUCAUCCUCACAACAGUAAUUAUUUUACAGAUAAUGAGAGUGAAGUUUGGAGAGAUGAAUUAAUGUGACUAGGGCACACAUCUAAGAUCAGAGCCAUGAUCUGACUUCAGACGUGAAUGACAUGAUCUUUCUAAAUACUUCUUACAUGUUGUCAGACAUCACAACAGCACUCACUCUGAGACUGUGUAGAUGGACUGGAUGAAUGGGUGGAGCCUCACAUGGAAGCUUCUAGCUGUUAGUGCAUGGUGGGGGCGGGGGAUGAGGAUGGAUUCAGAGAGGAGACAAGCUGAUCCAUGGACAACAGGUGAGAAAAUUCAAAGACCAGCAGAGGUAAAACAGCUCACGAAGGUCCUCACACAGGACAGGGAGUACGGCAAGGAGAAAUUAAGACCAAAAACCCAUGGAAGAGAUAGCCUUGGGGAAAACUGAAGUAUGGAACAGGAGUCCAAACAGAAAAGACCAUGUUUCUAGAAAGGCCGAGACAAAGCUCAGAGAGAAUACAGAAUAGAUCUUGGAUAUAGAAUCCAAUUAGAUAGGAAAGCACUGUGUGUAUAUUUAUAUUUAACUUAGUGAACACAUGCCCAUUACACACUCUAGACCCUGACCUCACCCUGGAGGUCUGUUUCAAGUCCACAUGCGCAGUGAAGUGACCCUGAACCCUGUCCCACUCACCCUUACCUAAAUCAGUUGCUCACCCCCAUCUACAUGAGUUCCUCUGCUGACCUCUCUCUUAUUUCCUUUGAUAGCACUUAGCAUAAUCUGUAACAACAGAUUACAUGUGUUACUUACUUAUCUCGCCUGUUAGACUUUCCUGCUUUGGGAGGAAGGAACCAUAGCUCUUUUGCUCAUCCCUCUCUCCCCAGCACCGAGGCCAGCAUGGGAGCAUCAGGUCCUCCACAAGCACUUGGGGAGUGAAUGGAUGUGGCUCUCCUAGUGCACCGUGUGGAGUGCAGGUGGCAGAGGGCCACAGGAUGAGUUCAGUAGAGAGAGCCACAGACACAGAGGAGAGGCAGCUAUUUGGAGAAGCUUUCCUUGGCUGACGACAGUGAAAAAUUAUCCAAGUAAUCGUAAAAACUGGCCAGGUGGCCUGUGUUUCACCAUAUCUCCCACAUGUCCAGAUGGCCAGGCCAGCGCAGUCCGCAGGGAAACUGCACUCUGGCUUCUCUGUUCUGUCCUAGAGUUCCUGAUGUCCCAUAUUCUAGUGGCUAUCGCUCUGUUUUCAGAUAAUUUGGAACUAUUGUGGAGUUAAGAUGAAAAAGUCCCUUUUAAAGACUCUAAAAUUUGUUCUGGUAUGUUAGAUUUUGCAGGGGGAAAUCUACAUAGCAAAAAAAUAUCCUAAAAUUAGAGGUAGGUAAAAUAUAUGUUGCAAGUGAAGUUUUCAUGAAUUGUAAGAUAUCUGAUACAGAUUAUAGAAACUCAAAACAGUGAAUUCUGGAGCUAGUCAGGUGACUGCAGUCAAAGCAGGGAGGGGCUCCCCAAAAGUCUCUGAUGGAAGGUGAUAGGGUAGAGAAUCCAAUAACUAUAUGGAUCAUUUCAGUGCUCUUGAAAAUCUAACCAAAUGUAGCUCCCUAUAACUGGUUCUACCCCAGAAUUAUUUGAGCAACAGCCCUCCUAGUAAAGAAAAGUACAAUUUAAUAUUCUCUUCUAGUACUCGCAGAAGUUUCCAUUUUGUGAAGAGAAGAGUCCUUUCUCUUCAUGCCACUCUGAAGUGAAUGAAUGUUCUCUAAGUUUGGUUUCUUUUUCUUUUUCUUUUUCUUUUUUUUAAGAUUUAUUUAUUUAUUUACGAUAGACACACACAGAGAGAGAAAGAGAGAGGCAGAGACACAGGAGGAGGGAGAAGCAGGCUCCAUGCCAGAAGCCCGAUGCGGGACUUGAUCCUGGACUCCAGGAUUGCGCCCUGGGCCAAAGGCAGGCGCCAAACCGCUGAGCCACCCAGGGAUCCCCUAAGUUUGGUUUCUUAAAGAGACCCCAUAUUUUAAGCCUUUUGUAAAUUUUUGCUACCUGGACAUUUAAGCUUCUUAAGUUGUGUACCACAUCUAGACAUGUUAUUUCAUAGUUAUGGAACACUAAAGAAACAUUUCCAACACCUGCAAAAAUUGCUGUGGGUCCCAUGUGGGAGGAGCAUCAGAAUUUUCUAGAAGCUUCAUCCAGAGUCUCUCCUUUAUGCUAAACAGUUAAGUUGGAGUGAUUCUGCUGUUGAUCAAGACAGGACCAGAUCUGAAAAACUUGGUUCUCCUUCUAAAAAUAGUCUUCUCGGUCUUUGUACACCCAAUUUCUAUAACUUACUUAAUUAGAAAUCAUCUUUCAUGUUAAAUGAAUCCCUAGGAACAUAGUACUACACAUAAAGAUACUCAUAUUCCAUCUUUGAACUCAAACUAUAAAAUCUUCACCGUAAUUUGUUAAGAUCAUUGUCAUUAUUAAUUCUAAUCACAUCUUUUUUUUUUUAAAGUUUUAUCUAUUUGAGAGAGAGAGAAAGCGAGUGAGCGAGCAGGGAGAGGGGCAGAGGGAAAGGGAGGAGGAGAGAGAGAAUCUCAAGCAGACUCCCUGCUGAGCGAGAAGCCCGAUGUGGGGCUCAAUCUCAGGACUCUGAGACCAUGACCUGGCCUAAAAGAGUCCACCACCCAACUGAAUGAGCCACCCCAUCAGUUACCAAUAUCUUAUAACACCUUAUUGAUACGGAGACUUGUAAUUGCUACCUAAAGCUCCUAUGACAAACACAUAAGAGGAAAAAGCACUGCCUUUUGUGAUUCCAUCAUGAAUCAACCGAUAACCUGAUCAAAGGAUUCAGCUCUCACAUCAGGGAUGAGGAUCUGUCAGAAAUGGUUUCUCAAAGAACUAGAAGAACUAGCCAAGCCAGUUCAAUUUAAAACCAAACUGAAGACUCUGUCACUCAUUACAUGGAGUUUCUGCUCUAACGCAGAACUUGCUAUGGUUAGGACCAGGCAGCGUCAUUAGUGGGAAAGUACUGGUUGUGUUUCUUCUGUUUGUUCCUUGGAAACAAGAAAGGACCAGAAAGGCUAGAAGGUAGCUAGCUACAGAAACUGAAAUGGAGAUGUUGUAUCUUUUUACAUUGUUAAUCACUGCAAAGUCCUUAUUUUAAGAGUCUGAGGGAGGGCGAGUUGUCAAAGCAGAAGGCUCUGUCAAAGAGAAUAAUUAAGAGCCUCUGGUGCCCAGGAAGCCCGAAGCCAGCAGUCACAUGAUGAGGGUAAGGAAUAAUUCAUUUUGAAAGAGUACCUAAUUACCUAAUUAGUUCUUGUUUGCUUUAAAUAUUGUCUUGAAUACAAUCUGCUUUCACGUUUGUUUAAUGUUUGCCAAAGUUUUGCUGUUUUAAUUAAGAGAUCUGAUUUUGAUAGAAGUGGCAAUGGAAAAGUACAGGGUGGACUGGGUGAAGGCAGGCAGAGCUGGAACUUUCUUGGUGCCCUUCCUGGCUGGCUGGGGGGCAUGAUGCCCAAAGCACAGGGACAGCUUCUUUAUAGGCAAACAAACCUCAGUCAGGCAGAAACUGCAAAAUCAGAUGUUCAGAGGAGAUAUGCAAGAAAUAGAUAAUUUUAUUCUUUGACCUAGAUAAUAAGCUUCAAAAGGCAGGGGCCAGGUCUUUCUUACUUUUUAAAAAAGAGAGGUAUAAAGGGAGGAAAUAAGAGAAAGAGGCAAAAAUGAAAGAAUGAAGGAAUCUUUUCUUCAGGGACUAGUACCUAGAAUCUCCAUGAGCUGUCUACCCAGGUAGUCAAUAAUCAAUUAUUUCAGGAGUACUCAUGCAGCAGUCUUUCCAGAUUGAUCCAGAAAAUGGAUUUUCUUGGUGGCACAACAUUUUAAAAAUAGUUUUUCUGAUUAUUAAAAUGGUAUAAUACAUAUUAUUACUAAACCAAGAGCGGUUAAGAAUUUGUGGUCUCCUUAUAAAAGACAGAAUAAUUGAAAAAAAUGUAUAAAAAUGAACCAAAAAAUUAGAUUUGACUCUCGUCGCCCAGAGAUAUCUAGUAUUAAUAUUUUGAUGGAUUUCCUUGUAGGCUUUUUUUAUUUUAAAGUACAUUUCAGCGUCCUUUCCUACAUAAUGGCCCUUUGCCAGCCAUAUCCCUUGCAAUUUAUAUGUAAGAAUUAUAUACAGAUAAAUUUAUAGGUUUUACAAAAAUAUUAUUAUAACAUCAUCUUCCCAUUGUUUCUAAAAAUGAUUCCAAAAAGACAUUUUACAGAUAUUCUUUUAUUCUCCCCUUCUAUUGGGCAUAUACAUUAUUUCUACUUUUUAUUCUUCUAAGUAACACAAUCUUGUGCACAUUAUUUUUGUAGUAAACAAUCUUGUACACGUAUUUACUACUUCUAAGCAGUAAAUAAUCUUGCAUACAUAUUCUUGACCAGAUUUCUACUUUUGUUAGAAUAGCUUCCAAGUCAGAGUAUAUAUGUCAUUUUCCUCAUUUAUUAAAUGUAAGAUUAAAAUAAUACUUGCUUGGUGGAA